GCAAACUUGGUCAUUUAGAGGAAGUAAAAGUCGUAACAAGGUUUCCGUAGGUGAACCUGCGGAAGGAUCAUUAUUGAACACAAAAUUAAGCAGACUGCUGCUGGUUCUUUGGAGCAUGUGCACGUCUGCUUUAUUUUAAACAUUCCACCCGUGCACUGCCGGUAGACCUUUUCAAAGCAGUAGUCUUUCAAACUUGUACAAGUUUGGCUAAGAGAAACUAGCUGUACUUCUUUUUUUGAUGUGCAGCUUUCUUUCUUGAAAAAUUGUUUUUGAAAUGGGUUUACUGUAUAUUUAUUUAUCACACCGUAUGAAUGGUUCAGAAUGUUGAUGAUAAAAAUAGACCUUCGCGUCUUUGAAAAAUCAAAUAACUUUCAACAACGGAUCUCUUGGCUCUCGCAUCGAUGAAGAACGCAGC
Molecule: unclassified non-coding RNA, 415 nt
Filed under: uncultured fungus
Lineage: Eukaryota; Fungi
Description: partial contains small subunit ribosomal RNA, internal transcribed spacer 1, and 5.8S ribosomal RNA
Rfam family: Eukaryotic small subunit ribosomal RNA (bases 1-73)
Source: RNAcentral